UGAAUCGCACAAUUGAUUUGUUUCCCUCUUAAGGUUUUUUCCCAAAUACACAACACGGUUAUUUUUUCAAAUACAGAACGCGGGGUUUUUUCCUUCUCUAAGAUGGCUCUCAAUUUCUGAAACCCUUCACAUUGCAAUACCAAAUUCUAGGGCUCAAGGGUUUCUCCAAACUACAAUUAUUCUCGACCCAAGGCUUUCCUCUCGUACGGUCAAAAUCCUCGGCAAAGACGGAAGAAGGUAAUCCACAUACAUUCUUGCUUCUUCCUCUAAAUAGCUUUUUACCUUCUUUGUCC
Molecule: long non-coding RNA, 293 nt
Filed under: Nicotiana benthamiana
Lineage: Eukaryota; Viridiplantae; Streptophyta; Magnoliopsida; Solanales; Solanaceae
Description: long non-coding RNA (NBEN_LNC004488)
Source: RNAcentral